Molecule: ribosomal RNA, 486 nt
Filed under: uncultured bacterium
Lineage: Bacteria
Description: partial 16S ribosomal RNA
Rfam family: Bacterial small subunit ribosomal RNA
Source: RNAcentral
AUUGAACGCUGGCGGCAUGCCUUACACAUGCAAGUCGAACGGCAGCACGGGUGCUUGCCCCUGGUGGCGAGUGGCGAACGGGUGAGUAAUACAUCGGAACAUGUCCUGUAGUGGGGGAUAGCCCGGCGAAAGCCGGAUUAAUACCGCAUACGAUCUACGGAUGAAAGCGGGGGACCUUCGGGCCUCGCGCUAUCGGGUUGGCCGAUGGCUGAUUAGCUAGUUGGUGGGGUAAAGGCCUACCAAGGCGACGAUCAGUAGCUGGUUUGAGAGGACGACCAGCCACACUGGGACUGAGACACGGCCCAGACUCCUACGGGAGGCAGCAGUGGGGAAUUUUGGACAAUGGGCGAAAGCCUGAUCCAGCAAUGCCGCGUGUGUGAAGAAGGCCUUCGGGUUGUAAAGCACUUUUGUCCGGAAAGAAAUCCUUGGCCCUAAUACGGUCGGGGGAUGACGGUACCGGAAGAAUAAGCACCGGCUAACUACGUG